AGCCACUGAUGACAAAACAUAAAAUCUUUUCUGACACCUACUAUGAGAUCUCCUGAUUCUAACAUUAUUCUGAGGCUU
This is a small nucleolar RNA of Salarias fasciatus (jewelled blenny), 78 nucleotides long. NCBI's taxonomy places the organism in Eukaryota, Metazoa, Chordata, Actinopteri, Blenniiformes, Blenniidae. The record is from Ensembl.